This 412-nucleotide ribosomal RNA is filed under the name uncultured bacterium. RNAcentral describes it as "bacterial SSU rRNA". It matches the Rfam family "Bacterial small subunit ribosomal RNA", at positions 355 to 775 of the family's 1533-position model. The record is from RNAcentral.
UCGAGGAUCUUCGGCAAUGGGCGCAAGCCCGACCGAGCGACGCCGCGUGUGCGACGAAGGCCUUCGGGUUGUAAAGCACUGUCGAGGGGGAGGAAAGCCGCAAGGCCUGACCUAUCCCUGGAGGAAGCACGGGCUAAGUUCGUGCCAGCAGCCGCGGUAAGACGAACCGUGCGAACGUUGUUCGGAAUCACUGGGCUUAAAGGGCGCGUAGGCGGGCUGCCGCGUCCGGGGUGAAAGCCUCCCGCUCAACGGGAGAACGGCCUCGGAUACGGGCGGCCUCGAGGGGGGUAGGGGCACGCGGAACUGUGGGUGGAGCGGUGAAAUGCGUUGAUAUCCACAGGAACUCCGGUGGCGAAGGCGGCGUGCUGGACCCUCUCUGACGCUGAGGCGCGAAAGCCAGGGGAGCGAACGG